Triticum aestivum (bread wheat) is the source of this 4095-nucleotide RNA transcript. RefSeq lists it as uncharacterized. NCBI's taxonomy places the organism in Eukaryota, Viridiplantae, Streptophyta, Magnoliopsida, Poales, Poaceae. The record is from RefSeq and is a predicted model, not a curated record. The transcript is spliced from 14 exons.
GCAGGCAGCGCGGGCAGGAGCGAGACCGCGCAGACUGCGUCUUCUCCACGAACCCUAGCCGCGUCCUCGUCUCCUCCAUUCGCGCGCCUCGGCGGUGACCCCAUGGCGGGCUGCCGGGUCGGAGCGGUCCCCCGCGUCCCUCCUUCCCCGCUCGGCGCUCUCUACUCCCAGCGCAGCUGCCGCCUCCCUCCGCUCUUCCCAUCUCGCCAGAGCCGCCGCACCCGGAGGCGACCGGCGUUGCUCCGUCUCGAGCUGCCCGUUCCCUUCUCUCCCCCGACGACCGACGCAGGAGAGAGAAAGAGGAGAGGGAGGUGUGGCGGCGGACGGGAGAGGGUCGACCUCGCGGUCGGUGGCUGCUUGAUCUGAGAGAAAGAGGAGAGGGAGGUGUGGCGGCAGACGGUGGAGGGCCAACCUCGCGGUCAGUGGCGGCUAGGAUCACCGGUGCUGAUUUGCUCCUUCAUCUUCUGUUGUGCGUUUGCUCACUGUGUUUGUUCCUAGGUCGGCACCGUUGUUGUCACCGGGCAGAAUGGCCAUGGGCAGGCUCAGGAAUGAAUGUUCUAGGGUUGGAGCCGAGGGGGUUGAGCAGCAGCUGAGCUUAGGCAUGAAUUUACAGAUUCAAGAUUUUCUUACACAUGGGGCUUUGCAAGUUCAUUGUCUCACACAUCCUUUAUGUUGCAGUAUUUUGUUUGGCGGAGGUUGUCCGAUCUAGAAGUUCAGAGCGACCAAUGCAAGGAGGACCAAGAUCUGAGAUGGAUCAGUUGAGGGUCGAAUGCUUCAAUGGUUCCAGAAAGCUUCAUCCACAAUCAUGACAAAUAUUUCCAUUGAUGUCACAAAGCAUACCAAGAAUUUGAAUUGAGCUUUGCUCUCCAAGUGCAGAACAAUUUCCCACUCCCCAUCGAUGAUGAUCUUCUGGGCAGCUCUUUUAGCACCACACAAGCUAUUCCGAAAGGUCAUUAAGCUUAUUGUAGUGCCAACUUCUGUAAAGAUGCUUGUCCUGUUUACAGUAUGCUCCCUUUGACAAAUCAACAGAAGUGUACAAAUUCAUUUGAAUGGAUUCGCAAGGUAUUUUCAUUAGCAAUGCCACAAGGCAUCAGAAAGCACAAGUAACGAGAACAAUUAGUUCAGUUUGCAUACCAUAGUUUUACUCAUCCUAAAUUGUGUUAAAUUAAUCUGCUACAGUAUGAUGAUAACAGAGGGGCACUAUUUUUUUAUUGUUCCAAUUAUAUAGGGCCCUCUGCAAAGAUAUUGAUAUCAUUGGGUGUAGAUGUUUAGUUGGACAAAUAUUGUUCGUCAGUUUCUUAGUGCGUGCCUAGGUGUUUCCCCCUUUUACGUUGCUUCAUUUUUAUAGGAUUUCUUGAAAUAUAAUAACUUGCUUCAACAAUUGUAGAAUGAUCAUGGUUUCUUUGCAUUCCUAUACUUUCGUACGAUUAAAAAUUUCAUGGCUAUCCUGGUCCCGGGUAAGAAACAGACAUCAUUGGCAUUAGCCAAUGCAUUUGCGUUAAAUGCCCUCCUGGUCGUUCUUCUUUAGUGGGUGUUUGUAUUUUCCAAAAAGAAGUUGGUGCACCUCAUAGUUGUUUCGUAGCAUGACUAUUAUGUCUAGAUUUUGCUGUAUAAUACAAAACUAAGUAGUUCGCUAUAUCAGCUGGCUAUGUGUGUCGCUUCAUAGUUUAAAACUUUAGCUACAAGCCUACAAUCAUUAGUACCGUUCAGUUUAUUUUUUAUGGAAAAACAGGGUAGAGCUCUAACGACUACUCUCAGGCUAUCUACGAGAGCCAACAGCCAAGAUUAUCUUUUAAGUAGAUCCCGUAUCUUUGAACAACGGAUUCUGAUUCUGUUAGAGAUGUUUCAAUGCAUUUUUUAUCAGUUGCGCUACUACAUUUUACUACUGAUUUGAGCUGCCUUAUUCCCAGAUAGUGAAUAUCUAAAUUAUUGACAUUCACUAAAAUAAAUACACAAGAGUUGUAUUAAAGGAAACCACUUAUCUUUUUAAUUACAAAUUAGAAAUGCAGAUGCAGUUGACCAAUGUUUAGCAUCCUAACAAUGUUCAGGUUGCACAUGCAUACCAGAACACUGAGGGGUGGUCUUACAAAUGACAACUACUUUCAUGUUAGUAAUUUCUUCUGUUUGAGAUAUUCCACGACCCUGCUUUGCUAGCUCCAGUCAUUCAAUUUAUCAUUAUAUCCACCAUAUUUUUAUGCUCUGCAUUCCUAAUCUGCCGGUCACAAGAAACUGUAGUAUAAUGUUAGGUCGCACAUUCUUUUUGUUUCAUGGUUCAGUAGAGGUCUCACGGUGAGCAGCAACACUAGGUUGCAGUAUAAUGUCAGCUAAUUGCAACAUCCUGAGUUAUUUUAUCAAAGUUUUUCAUCUGGAAGCUCGAAUAUCUUUUGACUUUCAGUACACAUCUAUUCCGAUUUGGUAGAGAAGAUCAGAAGAAGCUUUUAUAUCAUAUUUUUGUGUGCUUUUUCUGUAGAAAAAUUACCAUGGGUUGAUGGUUUUGAAUCCAAUUACUAUAUGAUGUAAUUGACUGCUAUUCCUAAGAAUUGCUCCUGGACACAGUGCUCAAUCUUAUCAUGUCUCACAUACUAUUGUGCUGCCUAUCUGUAUAGUUACUCGGAUCAUUUCUACAGAUGAAAAUGUUCAUACAGAAGAAAAUUUUCAUCUGUGCUCCUGGACAUUUUUGCAAGCUUUGCUCUCCAAGUGCAGAACAAUUUCUAUCUGAACACCCAUCAUUAGUGCGACAGGUCAAGGCUUAUCUUGUGGUGUGUCGGCAGCGCGACUGUACGCCACUGUUACUAGGUUGUUUCAUUUCUACAGCAACACAGGCAAUGCUUAUGUAUUGCACAUAUUUUUAUUUCUUUUGAUUUUGCCUUGGUUGUUAUUUAUGCCUAUAGCCUCAUGUAUGGGAUCCUAUUUCAGGGCACCGUUUUCAAUGGUUAGUUGAGGUGCUUCUGGUUUUCUGAAUGAGUACAUAGAUCUUCUUUUUAAAUAGCACGGAUAGAGGACCAGAAAAGAGAUACUUUUCUUGUUGGUGCACUUGCAAGUAUAUGCGGAUCUGUACCUUAGAUUUCCUUGCCUUUGGCUGGCUGUCCUUUUCUUUUGCUAGGCCAUCAAAUUGCUUUCAACUCGAGCGGGAUUUGUUGCAACCUCCUAUUUGUGACGUGGUGCCGCCAAAGGCAGUAUCUUCUAUGCACGUUGGUAUGUACAUGAGAUGGGGGAAAUCAUGUUUUUAAGAGAGUGAGAUGUGGAAGGCAGGCUGACUACAUAGUAAUUGUUAGUACUCUUUGAUGAUAGAGAAGUGAAGAUCUUGUUGUUACUGCAAACUCAGGCUAUGUUGUUGACAAUGACAUCAGGGGACAUGUAUAUUGAACAUGUGUUGAUCCACUAAUGGCAAAUCAGCUACCAGCUGGCUAUCAAGACUUUGCUUAGGUGUUAUUAGCCGCUACAUCCUCCGCUUCAUUGAGCCUCGACCCCCCACUCUUCUGAGGUUUCGUCAGGUUCGAUAAUGUCUUCUCUCCAAUCUUGUUCCCUUCCCAGCUUCCACCUAUCUUCAUGAGCAAGUGUAGCUCCAUCCAUGACAAAGAGAAUUGUUUUGUUGGACUACGACUGGAUUGAAGUUGCUAGCCUGAAUGCAAAUUUCCUUGAGAUGGUUCAUCACCAAAAUCCUUAAGAGAUGUUCGAAGAACACGACAACUGUUCGUCACCUAAAAGGACAGGAUGACACCAAAGGAGUUAUGAUAGCAGCACUUAUAGGCAUUGAGGAAUUGGCAAAGAGAUUACGCUUCAUAGGUAUGAAGUUAGAACAACGGCUGGAACUAUGAAAGGCCGUUUCUAAUUACCUUUGUUGGAUCUGUCUUACCUACAAUGCAUGUGUGACCCUUGGAGAAGCCACUUUUUGUUUCGUCUGCAGUAUACUCCAUGUUUAGUUCCAAUGAUGCCCUAACCCUUUUGUUCCUGCUCUGAAGAAUAGGACAUGUAUAGGCUUCAGAUUUUUGUAAUCAUCUAUGUGCUAAACAUCCCUUUGUGGUCAUGUGUUCUUUAUGUAAUCAAGUAUCUAUUCAUGAUGAUAUAUAUGCCCAGCUAAUGUUUGAAAAGAUC